CGGCGGCGGCGGCGGCGGCGGCCCGGGCGCGCGCUUCCUAGUGACGCAGGCGGCGGGGCCGCGCACGCACGGGCAAGGGCGAGCCCUGAUAUUUAUUUGGCGCUCGGCCGGGAAGCGGGAGGUGCCGAGAAAUAAGGCCCGGCUGGGCCCGACGCGCAUGCGCGCGGGCGGGGGCGGGUCCGGAGGUGGGUGCUUCGGCCCCUUAGUUGGGCGGCUGCUCCGCGGCCCCGCCCCGCCCGCUGGCUCACCUGCCGGAACUGGCGGACACACACGCUCAGCGCGGACUUCCCGGGGAAAGGGUGCCUAGGGAGACGCGCUUAGGGUUGGCGAGAAAGAUGAUUGUCCGACGUUUGAAGCGACGUUUGUGAGGACGUAGGAGAAGUGCGAACACAUCACUGUGCGCGUCUCAGAGGUCUGAACUCGGGCUCACUUCAGCACCUCUUGAGGGGGACAGACACACAGAGGGAGAGGCAGAGACACAUGUGCUGCGUCCACAAACCAAGGAUAGCCGGUGUCCAGCAGAGCCCAGGCUCAAGUUCCCAGUCCCUGGGGAGGUCCCCACUGCGUGGAGGCUGGCACUGCUCGUCACAGCGCCAGCCACCUGCGGGGGAUAGAAGUCCAAACACUUCGUUCCUGGCAUCCUGACAUCCAGGUCGCCAAGGAGAGCGCGAGGCAGCCGAGCGGACAGGACAAGCUUUACUCAGGAGAGACGAGACCAGCAGAAAGAGAAACAGCUGCAGUGUGUACCGACUCUUGCCACCUUCCCUUCUACACAGCCACACCCGAGCUUGCCCGGCGAGGAUGCGUGAGGGGCUGGAGGGAGGCCCCGCUGGGACAGGCGUCUGUCUGUGCUUCCAUCUUGCCUGCCUUGCCGGACACCCUGUUUCACGGUGUGGGCCCACUGCCACCCCCAGGCACCGAGCCAGCACCCACUGUGUGCAGAACUCACAGGGUCAUCAACGCAGAGUGUCUGAGGUGGUUUUAAUACCUGUCCCCAGAGUCUGUGACAUUCCUCCUUUCCAAAGGUGGAGCCUCACCCACCCCCCCACCUUGAGGGUAGGCUGUUCUUAAUGACUCAACUUGUGCUUCCGUGACUAGUUCACGCCCAUGUGAGCCAGCCGACUUGGAAGUGGGUACUCCAACCCCACACAGCCUCCAGACAACCUCCACUGAUGUCCUGACUGCAGCCUCCUGAGAGGCUCUGUGCCAGAACCACCCAGCUCCCGAAGUCCUGACUCGACAGAAACGAUGUUUGUUGUUUUCAGCCACUGCUUGGACUCACUUGUUACACAGCAGUAGGUUACGAAUACAGCUCCAACUGGCUUCCCAGGAGUCCCCCGUUUGUUUGCUGCUCUUUGUUAAGGAGAAGCAUGAUUGCUUUUCUGCAAAGGAUUCCCCAUCAUCUCCCAACCUCAGAGGCUCCAUAUGGUGACUGCCCCUCAAUGCCUUACCAGGGCCGCCUAAGAGGUCCCCAUGUUGGGGCCAGAUCUGUGUCUGUGAACAGUCAGCUGCCCAACGGGGUCCACAGAGCCAUGGGACACACCCUGGGAUUCUAGGACCACCCCCCAUCCGAGCAAGACCCACAGCCAUGGUGAGAAGGGCAGGCCCCAGACCUCAGACCCUGACCUUCCUCUGCAGCGGCAAGCUGAGAGCCCGGCCCACAGGAGGGCGCAGCCCUGGGGGAGCUGGGGUGGCCCCACCUGCAGCAGAGGUCCCAGCCUCCUCCCUCCCACCCCCACUGUCUCCUGGGGCUCCGGAGGGUAAAGUGGGCUUGCGUGCUGUUUAUAUGCUCUUUUCUUAAAAUCGCCACUGUUGUGAGAACUGUUCGCAGUUGUGAUGACACGCAGGGGUGGGCUUUCCAGGGGGACGCUUGCACAGGCAGUGGCCUCGCAGCUCAUCUGACCCCACAGAUGCAGGACACACGCUGGGACAGUUCAACCGUUUCUUAAACACACACAUUUUUUUUAAUCGUUCAUUUAAUUGUUAAGUUCACUUUUACUACGUGGAUGAGAUGGGUGUGUAUUACACUAGGGCUUCUGCUAUGAGAGAGCUGCCACCGCUCCGAGAAAUCCAACCCUCAGUCCCCUUUCCGAGUCCCACAAAAGCCACCGGUGGGCACUGCUGGGUUCCAGUCCUGGCUUGUCACUCCCUUGGGGGCUGUCUCGGUGGGGAACGGGAGGGGGGCACAGGUCCCAACUUCCCCCGAAGCCCACUGCAAUGGAUCAGUACCCACCCGUGCUCCCUGGCUUGGCUCUGGGAGGUCACCAGCAGUGUCCCCGUAGGUUUCUGUAGGUCGAAAGCCAGGGGCACUGAGGGCUGCAAUCAUCUGGUUUCUGAGGCACUGGCUCUGGGUCCUGCCUGCAAGAAACGCCUCAUGCUUUCCACCAAGAGGCUGGCCAGCGAGGACUCGGCCCCAAGCACCCAGUCGUGGGGCGGGUCUGCCGUGGAGAAGAAGCUGCUGCUGUGUCCAAGCGGGUAGCCGUCCUCAAAGGCUGGCGCUGGGGGGUCUGGAGGUCCCCCCAGGCUGAGGGGGGGGGGGAGGAGCCCAGCCAAGGAGGGUCUUGGCAGGAGAUAGAGCCAGGCCUCCAACCUGCAGGCUGGCCAGAGUGGGCCACCAGCCAGGAAUGGAAGGAUGGAGCAGGUGAGGAGGUGGCUUGGGAACCCUGUCCCCUGCCCCCCGACAUCUGAAUCUUCAGGCCCUGGUCCCCCGCCCCCCAGUAUCUACUCAGGGCUCCCAGAGGGGCACUUGUGGCUGCCACCCACGCACACUGCACCACCUGUCCAGAGGUGAGCCUGAACGCCCUGUGGCCAGGAGCAGUGUGGGAGCAUCUUUUGACCAGAGCAGAGGGCACACGGGAGGGGACUGAGACUCCAAAAGGAUAUAAGGAGGGGUCCUCCGAGGGCAUCUGCAAAGCCUGGAGAAGGAGAGGAGGGACAGCGGGAGGCUGGCUUUCCCCGCACAGGUGCUGGGCCAGAAGGAAGAGGGCCCUUCUGGGAGGAGGGGCCAGCACGUGUCCACGCUGCCCACAACCGUCUAGAGCACGGCAGCUCGCUCACAGGUCCCUGGUGGAACACGCCCACUGCCCUGAAAACUCAGGCCAAGCCACACCCCACCACCGCUCCAAACAAGGACAAUGACCGAAGCUUCCCAGGCCAGCCGAGGGUGCCAACCUCAGGCCAGCGGGUCUCAGAGGGCCCCUGUGCCACCACGUUAAAGCGUGCUGCAGCUCCUACCCACCAGUUCCAAAAAGCACCACUGCACACGGGGUUCCCAGGGCUGGCCGGUGACAGGGUACCUGGCCCCCACUGCCCAGAGGUCCUUCUCUGUCCAAGUCUGUCUUCCUCCGCCCCCUCCUGCGUGCCCAGCCCCUCUCCCAGGGGAGGACAUCCAGGUGGAGGUGGCUCUGCCCGCCGGCAGGAGCUGCCUCAGAAGACAUGCCCUAAGUGACAAGGUGCUCACAGCACAACCCAGCACAAGGACCUGCGUGUUCCUGCCACCAUCGCUGGAUUUACUGAGGUCGCCACCACGUCCACUAAGAGUGCUGCCAAGAGGGGAGCCAGCCACCGCCAGCCUGGGGCCUGAACUGAGGGACUGUGUGCCACGCCCUGGGGGCUCCACAGGGACAGCCUGUGGUCAAGGCCUUGCCACGAGGACUGGACAGCUCGGAACGCAGAAAGAGAAGCUGAAGCUGGGAGCACAGGAGGGGAGGGAGGAGCGGGAGCAAAAGCUGCAUCUAGACAAAGUCGAACAAAACAAAACCAAAA
Long non-coding RNA from Balaenoptera ricei (Rice's whale), 3765 nucleotides. RefSeq lists it as uncharacterized. The transcript has 5 exons. The record is from RefSeq and is a predicted model, not a curated record. Lineage: Eukaryota; Metazoa; Chordata; Mammalia; Artiodactyla; Balaenopteridae.